This 1372-nucleotide ribosomal RNA is filed under the name metagenome. Its description in RNAcentral is "bacterial SSU rRNA". It matches the Rfam family "Bacterial small subunit ribosomal RNA". The record is from RNAcentral.
AGAGUUUGAUCCUGGCUCAGAAUGAACGCUGGCGGCGUGCUUAACACAUGCAAGUCGAACGAUGAAGCCUAGCUUGCUAGGUGGAUUAGUGGCGCACGGGUGAGUAAUAUAUAGAUAACGUGCCUCUUAGUCUGGGAUAGCCAUUGGAAACGAUGAUUAAUACUGGAUACUCCUUCUGAUUAUAAUUUCAGUCGGGGAAGUUUUUCGCUAAGAGAUCGGUCUAUAUCCCAUCAGCUUGUUGGUAGUGUAAGAGACUACCAAGGCAAUGACGGGUAGCGGGUUUGAGAGGAUGAUCCGCCACACUGGUACUGAGACACGGACCAGACUCCUACGGGAGGCAGCAGUGAGGAAUAUUGCACAAUGGGGGAAACCCUGAUGCAGCAACGCCGCGUGGAGGAUGACGCAUUUCGGUGUGUAAACUCCUUUUAUAUGCCAAGAAAAUGACGGUAGCAUAUGAAUAAGCACCGGCUAACUCCGUGCCAGCAGCCGCGGUAAUACGGAGGGUGCAAGCGUUAUUCGGAAUCACUGGGCGUAAAGGCAGCAGCAGUGUAGGGGUAAAAUCCGUAGAUAUCACUAGGAAUACCGAAAGCGAAGGCGAUCUCCUGGAACAAUACUGACGCUAAGGCGUGAAAGCGUGGGGAGCAAACGGGAUUAGAUACCCCGGUAGUCCACGCCCUAAACGAUGAACACUAGUCGUCGGAAUGCUAGUCAUUUCGGUGAUGCACUUAACAGAUUAAGUGUUCCGCCUGGGGAGUACGGUCGCAAGAUUAAAACUCAAAGGAAUAGACGGGGACCCGCACAAGUGGUGGAGCAUGUGGUUUAAUUCGAAAAUACGCGAAGAACCUUACCUAGCCUUGACAUUGAAGAAACACCCUAGAGAUAGAGUGGUGCCCUUCGGGGAACCUGAAAACAGGUGCUGCACGGCUGUCGUCAGCUCGUGUCGUGAGAUGUUGGGUUAAGUCCCGCAACGAGCGCAACCCUCGUCCUUAGUUGCCAGCAGUUUGGCUGGCACUCUAAGGAGACUGCCUUCGCAAGGAGGAGGAAGGUGAGGACGACGUCAAGUCAUCAUGGCCCUUAUGGCUAGGGCUACACACGUGCUACAAUGGGGCGUACAGAGAGUUGCGAUACCGCGAGGUGGAGCCAAUCUCAUAAAGCGUCUCUCAGUUCGGAUUGAAGUCUGCAACUCGACUUCAUGAAGCUGGAAUCACUAGUAAUCGUAGAUCAGCAAUGCUACGGUGAAUACGUUCCCGGGUCUUGUACUCACCGCCCGUCACACCAUGGGUGUUGAUUUCACCCGAAAUUGGGAAGCUAACCUUCGGGGGGCUACCACUUACGGUGGAAUUAGCGACUGGGGUGAAGUCGUAACAAGGUA